RNAcentral lists this long non-coding RNA (364 nucleotides) under Elaeis guineensis (African oil palm). RNAcentral's name for it is "long non-coding RNA (EGUI_LNC024072)". Lineage: Eukaryota; Viridiplantae; Streptophyta; Magnoliopsida; Arecales; Arecaceae. The record is from RNAcentral.
GAAAGAAGGGUCGCCUGGCAUAGUUGCUUGGCCAAUACAGAAUUGACCAAAGCUGAUUCACCCUCAGGCACUUAGAGGUCAAAGUGCACCGCGUGGCCCUUUGAGGUGGCUUCAUCCGUCGAUGCCACCAGAGCUUUCUCCCGAUCUCUUAUCGACGGCCCCAUAUUCGAGAGCAAGGGGAAGCUCGAGCUCGACUGUGCCCUGGCUGAAGGAGCGACCGGUGCAGCCAUAGAUUGCUCGGGUUCUCCUACCUCAACCCGAACCUCCUCAAAUGGCGGGACCAUCGAUGUUUCUCUAGUGGUCCCCCUUACCGCCCUCUCCUCGGACGAUGCAACAGGAAGCACUAUCGGAGCCAACAGCACCA